This 254-nucleotide ribosomal RNA is filed under the name uncultured bacterium. RNAcentral describes it as "partial 16S ribosomal RNA". It matches the Rfam family "Bacterial small subunit ribosomal RNA", at positions 524 to 776 of the family's 1533-position model. The record is from RNAcentral.
UACGGGGGGGGCAAGCGUUGUUCGGAAUUACUGGGCGUAAAGGGCUCGUAGGUGGCCAACUAAGUCAGACGUGAAAUCCCUCAGCUUAACUGGGGAACUGCGUCUGAUACUGGAUGGCUUGAGUUUGGGAGAGGGAUGCGGAAUUCCAGGUGUAGCGGUGAAAUGCGUAGAUAUCUGGAGGAACACCGGUGGCGAAGGCGGCAUCCUGGACCAAUUCUGACGCUGAGUGAGCGAAAGCCAGGGGAGCAAACGGG